GAAAGCUUGUCGAAGGCUGAUUCCUUCGUCAGUUGGCGUUAUUAGCACCAACCUUGGCCAUUCUACAGUCCUAUUUUUCACUUCUUCUUCAUCUAUUUCUGGUGCUACAGGAAGAUUGGCUUCAAAUGUGGCAUUGAGCCAUAAUUGCAAGAGCCAGAAAGGUCCUGAUAAGUUGAUUUUCCCUUGGGUUUUGGUGUUUUUUAAAAGAUGUACGCUCUCACUCAGAGAUUCAUAAAGGUUCGCCAGAAU
RNAcentral lists this long non-coding RNA (249 nucleotides) under Lathyrus oleraceus (garden pea). Its description in RNAcentral is "Pisum sativum (pea) long non-coding RNA (PSAT_LNC022740)". Lineage: Eukaryota; Viridiplantae; Streptophyta; Magnoliopsida; Fabales; Fabaceae. The record is from RNAcentral.